UACGUAGGUGACCAGCGUUGUCCGGAUUUACUGGGCGUAAAGAGCGCGCAGGCGGUCGUUCAAGUCGAGUGUGAAAGCCCCCGGCUCAACUGGGGAGGGUCACUCGAUACUGAUCGACUUGAAGGCAGGAGAGGGAAGCGGAGUUCCCGGUGUAGUGGUGAAAUGCGUAGAUAUCGGGAGGAACACCAGUGGCGAAGGCGGCUUUCUGGGCUGGAACUGACGCUGAGGAGCGAAAGCGUGGGGAGCGAACAGG
This 253-nucleotide ribosomal RNA is filed under the name uncultured bacterium. RNAcentral describes it as "partial 16S ribosomal RNA". It matches the Rfam family "Bacterial small subunit ribosomal RNA", at positions 524 to 776 of the family's 1533-position model. The record is from RNAcentral.